CCUACGGGAGGCAGCAGUGGGGAAUAUUGGACAAUGGGGGCAACCCUGAUCCAGCCAUGCCGCGUGUGUGAAGAAGGCCCUCGGGUUGUAAAGCACUUUCAGUGAGGAAGAACGCCUGGUGGUUAAUACCCAUCAGGAAAGACAUCACUCACAGAAGAAGCACCGGCUAACUCCGUGCCAGCAGCCGCGGUAAUACGGAGGGUGCGAGCGUUAAUCGGAAUUACUGGGCGUAAAGCGCGCGUAGGUGGCUUGAUAAGCCGGUUGUGGAAGCCCCGGGCUCAACCUGGGAACGGCAUCCGGAACUGUCAAGCUAGAGUGCAGGAGAGGAAGGUAGAAUUCCCGGUGUAGCGGUGAAAUGCGUAGAGAUCGGGAGGAAUACCAGUGGCGAAGGCGGCCUUCUGGACUGACACUGACACUGAGGUGCGAAAGCGUGGGUAGCAAACAGGAUUAGAUACCCCUGUAGUC
This 465-nucleotide ribosomal RNA is filed under the name Vreelandella stevensii. RNAcentral's name for it is "partial 16S ribosomal RNA". It matches the Rfam family "Bacterial small subunit ribosomal RNA", at positions 338 to 795 of the family's 1533-position model. The record is from RNAcentral. Lineage: Bacteria; Pseudomonadati; Pseudomonadota; Gammaproteobacteria; Oceanospirillales; Halomonadaceae.